Molecule: transfer RNA, 72 nt
Filed under: Hippoglossus stenolepis (Pacific halibut)
Lineage: Eukaryota; Metazoa; Chordata; Actinopteri; Pleuronectiformes; Pleuronectidae
Description: tRNA-Pro
Rfam family: tRNA
About the family: Transfer RNA (tRNA) molecules are approximately 80 nucleotides in length.
Source: RNAcentral
GGCUCGUUGGUCUAGGAGUAUGAUUCUCGCUUAGGGUGCGAGAGGUCCAGGGUUCAAAUCCCGGACGAGCCC